This 482-nucleotide ribosomal RNA is filed under the name uncultured bacterium. Its description in RNAcentral is "partial 16S ribosomal RNA". It matches the Rfam family "Bacterial small subunit ribosomal RNA", at positions 30 to 507 of the family's 1533-position model. The record is from RNAcentral.
AUUGAACGCUGGCGGCAUGCUUUACACAUGCAAGUCGAACGGUAACAGGCCGCAAGGUGCUGACGAGUGGCGGACGGGUGAGUAAUGCAUCGGAACGUGCCCAGUCGUGGGGGAUAACUACUCGAAAGAGUAGCUAAUACCGCAUACGAUCUAUGGAUGAAAGCGGGGGACCGUAAGGCCUCGCGCGAUUGGAGCGGCCGAUGUCAGAUUAGGUAGUUGGUGGGGUAAAGGCUCACCAAGCCAACGAUCUGUAGCUGGUCUGAGAGGACGACCAGCCACACUGGGACUGAGACACGGCCCAGACUCCUACGGGAGGCAGCAGUGGGGAAUUUUGGACAAUGGGCGCAAGCCUGAUCCAGCAAUGCCGCGUGCAGGAAGAAGGCCUUCGGGUUGUAAAGUGCUUUUGUACGGAACGAAACGGCUCUGGUUAAUACCCGGGGCUAAUGACGGUACCGGAAGAAUAAGCACCGGCUAACUACGUG